Molecule: long non-coding RNA, 784 nt
Organism: Saccostrea cuccullata (small rock oyster)
Lineage: Eukaryota; Metazoa; Mollusca; Bivalvia; Ostreida; Ostreidae
Exons: 4
Source: RefSeq, a predicted model, not a curated record
UUAGAAUUUUACUACAGAAUAAAUUCUUCUUCUGCCUUGUGCAAGAGGGAAACAGAAGAAAUAAAAAAGAAAUGGAAAGAUGCAAGAUCCAUUGUAAAGAAGAAAGAAGCCAGUAGAAAAUACCAGACGAAGAGAACGGGCGGAGGGCCUCCCCCGGAAUCUGUAUUCAAGGCAUGGGAACUUGACAUUUUGUCAAUUAUACCGGAUGAACUUAUCUCUGGGAUUGACGGAGGGGUUGAUACUGCCUUUGCCAUUAAUUCUGAAACAAGUAUGUAUAAAUACAUGGUACAUGCAUGUACAUUGUAAACAUACGUUCACUACAUGUAUUUUUAUAACCUCAUAAUGUUGCCUUCCCGACUUUUGCUUCAUAUACUAUUUGAUUUUCCAUGCUUUGUAUAUUUAGUAUUAUUGUAGUAUACAGUAGUUAUAGUAUAAAAAAAAAUUGAAAUAUAUGAUAUCUAAAUACUAGUAUUUCUUUGUAACAGAUAACUUAGCCUCAUCAUGCACUGCAGUCCCAUCGGAAAUUUCCGCUGGAAUUCCAUCCUUGAUUGUAGAAGAAGUUGACGUUCCGGAAGAAGCUCCAAGUGUACAUGUGUCCGGGCCUUCCACCGACACAUUCUUUGCUUCAACUCUGUAUGGAUCUAAACGUAAAGACACGGCCAGCGACCCCGACGCUGAGUUUAUGCUGAAUUUGAUAGGAGUGAAGGAGAGAAGAGCCAUCGCAGAGGAGAGAAAAGCAGAUGCCCUAGAGAGAAUAGCGGCGGCAUUUGAAAACAAAUUUGGC